This 253-nucleotide ribosomal RNA is filed under the name uncultured bacterium. RNAcentral describes it as "partial 16S ribosomal RNA". It matches the Rfam family "Bacterial small subunit ribosomal RNA", at positions 524 to 776 of the family's 1533-position model. The record is from RNAcentral.
AACGUAGGGGACAAACGUUAUCCGGAGUUACUGGGCGUAAAGGGCGUGCAGGUGGCUUGAUAAGUUCGGCGUGAAAUUUCCCGGCUUAACCGGGGGAUGUCGUCGGAGACUGUCGAGCUAGAGGGUGAUAGAGGCGUGUGGAAUUCCGGGAGUAGUGGUGAAAUGCGUAGAGAUCCGGAGGAACACCAGUGGCGAAGGCGACACGCUGGGUCAUACCUGACACUAAAACGCGACAGCAUGGGGAGCGAACGGG